AUGAAGCCCAAAAAAUUCAAUUUUUGGCAAGGCAGAAGCUUUCAAAAAAACACUGGUGAUGGACUUAGAAGGAUUUCGGUUCAGCCUUAUCCAAUCCAACAAUCAAUUCUUCAUGUUCAGAAUUCUAAAACGGUAUCAUAUUGCAUAUAUUUAGGGUUCAAAAUCAAAUGGUUGUUCAGCUUCUCUGGGAACUCGACUCUCUUCCUCUUUUAUAUGAAAUGCGAUACCUGCCAUCUCUAA
Vicia faba (fava bean) is the source of this 240-nucleotide non-coding RNA. The record is from the annotation of a GenBank genome assembly. Lineage: Eukaryota; Viridiplantae; Streptophyta; Magnoliopsida; Fabales; Fabaceae.